ACUCCGGGAAACCGGGGCUAAUACCGAAUGAUAAAGUGUGGCGCAUGCCACGCUUUUGAAAGAUGGUUUCGGCUAUCGCUUACAGAUGGGCCCGCGGUGCAUUAGCUAGUUGGUAGGGUAAUGGCCUACCAAGGCAACGAUGCAUAGCCGACCUGAGAGGGUGAUCGGCCACACUGGGACUGAGACACGGCCCAGACUCCUACGGGAGGCAGCAGUAGGGAAUCUUCCGCAAUGGACGAAAGUCUGACGGAGCAACGCCGCGUGUAUGAAGAAGGUUUUCGGAUCGUAAAGUACUGUUGUUAGAGAAGAACAAGGAUAAGAGUAACUGCUUGUCCCUUGACGGUAUCUAACCAGAAAGCCACGGCUAACUACGUGCCAGCAG
This 382-nucleotide ribosomal RNA is filed under the name uncultured bacterium. Its description in RNAcentral is "bacterial SSU rRNA". It matches the Rfam family "Bacterial small subunit ribosomal RNA", at positions 146 to 514 of the family's 1533-position model. The record is from RNAcentral.